CUCAAAGCAGCAAAUACAGAGCUGUACUAUGUCUUUGAGUUUGUACUUACUAAUAUAUCUCUGUGCAUGUAUAAGGUACUGAAUUACAACGACGGUCCAUAGAUUCUAAACCGUAGUUUUCCAUGACACUUUUUCAUACACAUUAUGAACUGAACCUUUUGCCAGAACUAGCUUGGCGUAACUACUCUUAGAUUAGACAUAUGAACAAUGGGCUUAGGUGAGUUAGUUUCAACUUUCUACAUGCACAUAUAAUCCUAAUAUUUACUAUAUCUAGGCUCAAAAUAUGAAACCAUUAGGGAGGGACAGCCCACAUUAUCAAUCCGCACCAAGUUGUCCAUACAACCAAUGUAGGACUAGCCCCCAUAGUAAAUACAAUCACAACAGCUUGUCCUAGAAGAAAUCAGAGUACAUGAAACGAGGUUUGAUUUCAAUUUUCUCUAGAACUUGAACUUAGAUGGUGUUUGAUAAAAUUGAGUGUUAAGAUCUGAAUAGUUUAGACAACUCAAUAAUUUAAGAACAUCUGUCCAGAAUUGUGUCUGAAUGAAAA
Molecule: long non-coding RNA, 547 nt
Filed under: Panax ginseng (ginseng)
Lineage: Eukaryota; Viridiplantae; Streptophyta; Magnoliopsida; Apiales; Araliaceae
Description: long non-coding RNA (PGIN_LNC017550)
Source: RNAcentral